AUACGGAGGAUGCGAGCGUUAUCCGGAUUUAUUGGGUUUAAAGGGUGCGUAGGCGGACGAUUAAGUCAGCUGUGAAAUGCCCGCGCUUAACGCGGGAAGUGCAGUUGAUACUGGUUGUCUGGAGUGCCGUUGCCGUGGGGGGAAUGUGUAGUGUAGCGGUGAAAUGCAUAGAUAUUACACAGAACGCCGAUUGUGAAGACACCUCACGAAGCGGUAACUGACGCUGAGGCACGAAAGCGUGGGGAUCGAACAGGAUUAGAUACCCUGGUAGUCCACGCAGUAAACGAUGAAUACUCGCUGUUUGCGAUACACGGUAAGCGGCCAAGCGAAAGCGUUAAGUAUUCCACCUGGGGAGUACGCCGGCAACGGUGAAACUCAAAUGAAUUGACGGGG
RNAcentral lists this ribosomal RNA (393 nucleotides) under uncultured bacterium. Its description in RNAcentral is "partial 16S ribosomal RNA". It matches the Rfam family "Bacterial small subunit ribosomal RNA", at positions 523 to 918 of the family's 1533-position model. The record is from RNAcentral.